GAGAAAUUGCUCAAAAAAGGUCACCAGUUUCUUGGUAUUACAGUUGUCUGAAACUGAUGCCAAUUAAGAAAAGAUUGUUCCCCUACCAGAGUGGGCAAGAAAAACAACCAGCAAAGUGGUCUGCUUAGUAACACGCAGUCUUCCUAAGGUUCAUUAAGAAAGAAUAUAAACAUAUAAAAAUCAAGAAUCGGUUUCUAUAGCGGCUGCAUAUCAUAUAGAUUAGAUAAAUGACUUAUGAGCAGAAUCACAAGGUUUAGAAAAUAAAAAGUCUUAAGUCUACAAAUUAGGUCUAAUCGAGGCCGUGACAGCCUUUACAAAACCCCUUUAGGAGACAUUGCUAUGAAGAUAUCUAAUUUUAAUACUGAAGUACCUCAUUUGGGAGUCAAUUCCACAGUAUGUAUACCUCACAAAAAUUAUACAAUUAAAACACUUAAGUUCUCAACUUAAAUUAUUGCUUGUUUACAUAUAAAUUGGAUUUUAUGUACCUUACAAAACUUCGGCUUAGUCAGCACUGCUAAAAAACAAACAAAAUAAAAAACACAUGGUGGAGGUGAAAUCUGUCGUGAUGUCUGCUGUCAAUUUUAAGCACACUCUUAUUUUCUCCUGUUUGGUGGACCAGUGUUGCUGGGGAAGAGAAUGAAUAUGCUUUCAAAGCAGGUGUCCAAAGUCUGUUGGGUAUCAAGUCCUAACUUUGCUCCUCUCCUUGCCAGUAAAUGCCUUUUUCUGAAAUUUGAGAGUUAGUUAGCAAUUGGUAAGUGCCUGGCAAAACACGUAAGGAAAUAAUAAAGGGCUUACCUGGUUUCUGUUGCUUUUAUUUAAAAAAAAAAAAAAAAAAAAAAAAGACAUGAGAGUGGGGAGAACGGGGGAAGGCAGAGGGGAAGGGAAGAGGCGGGGCCAGAUUCAAGAGGAGGUGCUGAUUCAGGCUGUCUGAUCGACCUAAGCGAAUCUGGAAAUGAAAACUAUUUCUUCUUGAGUCAUGAUUUGGGUGAACUAGUUUGGUUUGAAUCAGG
RNAcentral lists this long non-coding RNA (1010 nucleotides) under Phocoena sinus (vaquita). RNAcentral describes it as "lncRNA (ENSPSNG00000020165.1)". The record is from RNAcentral. Lineage: Eukaryota; Metazoa; Chordata; Mammalia; Artiodactyla; Phocoenidae.